UCAGGCCUAACACAUGCAAGUCGAACGGUCUCUUCGGAGAUAGUGGCGGACGGGUGAGUAACGCGUGAGAAUCUAGCUUCAGGUCGGGGAUAACAGUUGGAAACGACUGCUAAUACCGGAUAUGCCGGAAGGUGAAAGGCUUGCUGCCUGAAGAUGAGCUCGCGUCUGAUUAGCUAGUUGGUGGUGUAAGGGACUACCAAGGCGACGAUCAGUAGCUGGUCUGAGAGGAUGAUCAGCCACACUGGGACUGAGACACGGCCCAGACUCCUACGGGAGGCAGCAGUGGGGAAUUU
Molecule: ribosomal RNA, 293 nt
Filed under: uncultured bacterium
Lineage: Bacteria
Description: partial 16S ribosomal RNA
Rfam family: Bacterial small subunit ribosomal RNA
Source: RNAcentral